This 334-nucleotide unclassified non-coding RNA is filed under the name uncultured fungus. RNAcentral describes it as "sequence contains ITS1". The stretch from base 1 to 102 matches the Rfam family "5.8S ribosomal RNA", at positions 50 to 154 of the family's 154-position model. Lineage: Eukaryota; Fungi. The record is from RNAcentral.
AAAUCGCGAUAUGUAGUGUGAUCUGCCUAUAGUGAAUCAUCAAAUUUUUGAACGCAUCUUGCACCCAUGGGUAUUCCUGUGGGUACGCCUGUUUCAGUAUCAUUAUAACUUCUCUUCAACCUAGUUGUUGAUUGGAAAUAUCACUAUUGGCUCCGAGUCGACUGUUGUCGGCUUCACAGCUUGAAUCUAUGGUUUCAUAUAACUGAUUAUUACCCUUUGGUAGAUUAACCUACUAAAAGACCUCAGUCAGUCAUAUUCCAAACCAGGUCUACAUUUAGUGACCACAACCUCAUAACUUGAUCUGAAAUCAGGUGGGAUUACCCGCUGAACUUAA